GUACUCUUUUUUAGACUUUCCCUUAACGUAAUAAAUAAAACUUGAACAAAGGUACAAAACACUCACACUCAUCAUUUAAACUUAAAACAAUCUAGACCUCAUAAAAGCGACACAAAAAUAGUUGGUGGUGUUUUUUAAAAACCUUCUCUUAUAUUAAAACCCCCCAAAAAUAAGACUGAAUAAAAAAUGACUUGCAAGACUUGUCAAGCUGAAAAAUCCCUUAGUGUACCUCUGACCUGGCAUUCGAAAUCCUCAAUGGUUUGGGACCAAUACAGCAAAUGUGGACCAUCAGCUGAGAAGACGAAGCACCAGGAACUACAGAAAAACUACGGCAGUUGUUUGGCUUUAAGACUAAUUUUUAUGAAGAAUAACAAAUAAAUUUAAGGACUUUAUUUUUAA
This is a long non-coding RNA of Eupeodes corollae, 399 nucleotides long. RefSeq lists it as uncharacterized. The transcript has 2 exons. Lineage: Eukaryota; Metazoa; Arthropoda; Insecta; Diptera; Syrphidae. The record is from RefSeq and is a predicted model, not a curated record.